CAACCAGAAGUGCUGAACGUACAGGAGUCAGCAGAGGCCAUAGUACUGGAGUAAGAGACGCCUGAAACAGGAAGGGC
Molecule: non-coding RNA, 77 nt
Organism: Geobacillus sp. Y412MC61
Lineage: Bacteria; Bacillati; Bacillota; Bacilli; Caryophanales; Anoxybacillaceae
Source: Rfam